GAUGAACGCUGGCGGCGUGCCUAAUACAUGCAAGUCGAACGCUGGAGAUCUAGCUUGCUAGAUCGAAGGAGUGGCGAACGGGUGAGUAAUACAUAAGCAACCUACCCACGAAGACUGGGAUAAUCUCUGGAAACGGGGACUAAUACCGGAUAGGUAAUCGGAAGGCAUCUUCUGGUUAUUAAAGGUUAAAAACACUGGUGGAUGGGCUUAUGGCGCAUUAGUUAGUUGGUGAGGUAACGGCCCACCAAGACGAUGAUGCGUAGCCGGCCUGAGAGGGUGAACGGCCACAUUGGGACUGAGACACGGCCCAGACUCCUACGGGAGGCAGCAGUAGGGAAUGUUCGGCAAGGGGGGCAACCCUGACCGAGCAACGCCGCGUGAGUGAAGACGGCCUUCGGGUUGUAAAGCUCUGUUGUAAGGGAAGAACGGUAGAUAGAGAAUAUCUAAGUGACGGUACCUUACCAGAAAGCCACGGCUAACUACGUG
This 486-nucleotide ribosomal RNA is filed under the name uncultured bacterium. RNAcentral describes it as "partial 16S ribosomal RNA". It matches the Rfam family "Bacterial small subunit ribosomal RNA", at positions 28 to 507 of the family's 1533-position model. The record is from RNAcentral.